This 70-nucleotide transfer RNA is filed under the name Ictidomys tridecemlineatus (thirteen-lined ground squirrel). Its description in RNAcentral is "Spermophilus tridecemlineatus (thirteen-lined ground squirrel) tRNA". It matches the Rfam family "tRNA". From Rfam's summary of the family: Transfer RNA (tRNA) molecules are approximately 80 nucleotides in length. Their secondary structure includes four short double-helical elements and three loops (D, anti-codon, and T loops). The record is from Rfam by way of RNAcentral. Lineage: Eukaryota; Metazoa; Chordata; Mammalia; Rodentia; Sciuridae.
GGGGAUAUAGCUCAGUUGGUAGAGUGUUUGCCUAGCAUGUACAAGGCCCUGGGUUCAAUCCCCGGUCCCA